GCAUAUCAAUAAGCGGAGGAAAAGAAACCAACAGGGAUUGCCUCAGUAACGGCGAGUGAAGCGGCAACAGCUCAAAUUUGAAAGCUGGCCCCCCCGGGGGUCCGCGUUGUAAUUUGUAGAGGAUGAUUCGGCGAGGGCUCCCGCCUAAGUCCCCUGGAACGGGGCGUCAUAGAGGGUGAGAAUCCCGUAUGCGGUGGGCUGCCUUAGCCAUGUGAAUCUCCUUCGACGAGUCGAGUUGUUUGGGAAUGCAGCUCUAAAUGGGAGGUAAAUUUCUUCUAAAGCUAAAUACCGGCCAGAGACCGAUAGCGCACAAGUAGAGUGAUCGAAAGAUGAAAAGCACUUUGGAAAGAGAGUUAAAAAGUACGUGAAAUUGUUGAAAGGGAAGCGCUUGCAGCCAGACUUGUCCGCAGUUGCUCAGCCGGUCUCCUGACCGGCGCACUCUUCUGCGGCCAGGCCAGCAUCAGUUCGGGCGGUCGGAUAAAGGCCCCGGGAACGUAGCUCCUCUCGGGGAGUGUUAUAGCCCGGGGUGGAAUGCGGCCAGCCUGGACUGAGGAUCUCGCUUCGGCUAGGAUGCUGGCGUAAUGGCUGUAAGCGGCCCGUCUUGAAACACGGACC
RNAcentral lists this ribosomal RNA (615 nucleotides) under Neoscytalidium dimidiatum. RNAcentral's name for it is "eukaryotic LSU rRNA". It matches the Rfam family "Eukaryotic large subunit ribosomal RNA", at positions 38 to 667 of the family's 3401-position model. The record is from RNAcentral. RNAcentral also lists the same sequence under 1 other name. Lineage: Eukaryota; Fungi; Ascomycota; Dothideomycetes; Botryosphaeriales; Botryosphaeriaceae.